ACCAUGAGGAAAUUAAGAUGGAAACUACCACUAUCUACAGGCAUACCUUGCAGAUAUUGCAGGUUUGGUUUCAGACCAGCACAACAAAUUGAAUAUUGUCAUAAAGUGAUUCUCAGUACAGGCUUGUGUGUGUUCCAGGGCAGGGCUGUAGAAAUGGAAAAUAUAUGGUCUUCCCCACUCCUUUCCAAGGCAAAGUGCAGUGACCCGGAAACCCUAGCAGUCUACCGGGAGAAGAGUGGAGGCUACAUUUCCUAGGUGUAGCAGUAGACAGUGAUUUUUUUUUUCAGGCUGCUGCUUAGUUCAACACCCAAUGACUUUACAUCAGACAUUUGUACAUUUUUGAUCCAUACUGGGCAUUUUUCUUCCUUCAGUUGGGCUAAAUAAGAACUUUACAUUUUUAGGGUGCCAGCAAUGGGCACUAACGUGAUGAGUUUGUAGUUCUGUGAAGCAUUCCACAUUUUUCAUUUUUCUUUCAUUACUUUCAAAACCUUUUUUUUUUUAUGAGGGAGGCACAGUGAGAUGGCUGAGUAGAAGCCUCCACUGAUUGUCCCCGCAACAGGAACACCAAACUUAACAACUAUCCACACAAAAAAGCACCUUCAUAAGAACAAAAAAUCAGGUGAGUGAUCACAGUACCUGGUUUUAACUUCAUAUCACUGAAAGAGGCAUUGAAGAGGGCAGGAAAGACACCCUUGAAUUACUGACACCACCUCACUCCCAUCCUUCUGGCAACAGCCGCAUGGCAUGAAGACAGAAUAUGUAUGCUUGUGGGAGGACAAUGCAGUGACUGAAGGACUUUACAUUGAAACUCAGUGCUGUGCUGUCACAGUAGAAAGCAACACCAAGCUGAACUCAGCUGAUGUCCACGGAGGAAGCAUAGACAGGCCCUAGCAAGAGGGGCAUUACCCAUCUCAGCAAUCAGAACUUGAGUUUUGGU
This 937-nucleotide long non-coding RNA is filed under the name Homo sapiens (human). RNAcentral's name for it is "HSALNT0310038". Lineage: Eukaryota; Metazoa; Chordata; Mammalia; Primates; Hominidae. The record is from RNAcentral.